RNAcentral lists this small RNA (549 nucleotides) under Pongo abelii (Sumatran orangutan). Its description in RNAcentral is "processed transcript". The record is from RNAcentral. Lineage: Eukaryota; Metazoa; Chordata; Mammalia; Primates; Hominidae.
AAUCGGACCGGCGCUCGGUGAAGCCCAGAUUCUCUUUGUUCCGCAGCCAUUUCAGGCCCCGGACGGGAGGCAGUGCCGCUUCGGCCGAAGGCCCGAGCGCCCGAGGCCUCUGGGAUGGUGUGGGACCGGGGCACAGCAAGAAGUCUGUGAGCUAGAAAGCAGCCCUCGCCAGAUACUGAAUAUGCCUUGAUCUUGGACUUCCCAUCCUACAGAAUGCAAACCAAGAUGGAGUAUGAGUGGAAACCUGACGAGCAAGGGCUUCAGCAAAUCCUGCAGCUGUUGAAGGAGUCCCAGUCCCCAGACACCACCAUCCAGAGAACCGUGCAACAAAAACUGGAACAACUUAAUCAAUAUCCAGACUUUAACAACUACUUGAUUUUUGUUCUUACAAAAUUAAAAUCUGAAGAUGAACCCACAAGAUCAUUGAGUGGUCUCAUCUUGAAGAAUAAUGUGAAAGCACACUUUCAGAACUUCCCAAAUGGUGUAACAGACUUUAUUAAAAGUGAAUGUUUAAAUAAUAUUGGUGACUCCUCUCCUCUGAUUAGAGCC